RNA transcript from Salvelinus namaycush (lake trout), 3299 nucleotides. It is a transcript of the gene named protein prenyltransferase alpha subunit repeat-containing protein 1-like, with no coding region annotated. The record is from RefSeq and is a predicted model, not a curated record. The transcript is spliced from 5 exons. Lineage: Eukaryota; Metazoa; Chordata; Actinopteri; Salmoniformes; Salmonidae.
AAUAGUUUCAUAUUUAAUUAUAUAAGUUUUACAACAUUUAGAUGUAACUCUGACAUACAUUGGAGCUCUUAGUUACAAUGUUUCCGUUAUAACGUCUUUAAUGAUAUCACCAAACAAUAAAUGCUGACAUGAUUGUUCUUUAAGUCCCUCCUGACCAUUUCCCACAUUCUUUGUGUUAGGAAUGUUGUUUCAUUAUCCAGUUUUGGAUGUUGUAGUUUUGUCGGGAAGAAUCUGCUUGUAACAAAAGGGUUAUUACCCCUCAAUACUGCAUGGCCAGGGAGAGAGUUCCUGCAAGGUAUUUAUGACAGUCAUAAAACUGGCCAACUCCCCCAGGAGAGGGGAGUCUUGAAACCUUUGUUUAGACGGCACCUUUGAUCUCCAUCCAGGAGGGCAUAGGCUAUGGUCCUUGGUGUCCUAGCAGAGCAUUCCCUCCCCUUUGCUAUUGCUCCAGUAAUUGUUGAGCUAGUGCAAAAUCUUGCCAUUGACAAGGUGGCUUUGGAGAGGAUGAAGCUCUCGAGAACAGCGGCAUCCUACAAGAUGGUCAAUGGCCUAGGGCGGACCUUCUCCGAAAGGACCUUCUCAAACCUGAGGAGGUUUCCCUUUUCUUUGAACUUGGAUGAGAGCACAUCUAACAGCAACAAAAAGGUUGUUCUCAUAUUUAAUUAUUGUUAUCUUAUCAAUUUGGCAUUCUAUUCACUCUAUUUGCACUACUUGUAUCUUGUUUUAUUCUUAUCUUACAUUGUUGGAGAGCUCAAGUAGAAAGCAUUUAAUUGUCCAGUCAACAUCUGUUUACUGUGCAUUUGACAAAAUAACCCUGAUUUUGUUUGAUUGAUUUUUGAAGGUCCUCUCCAUGCUGGUAAGCUACUACCAUGAUGACAUGAGAAAGGUGGUGGUGGAGCACUUGGGGUCCCUGGAGGUCAUAAAGGUGAAUGCUGUCAGUUUGGACAACGUGCUCUGCGACUUCUUCAACCAUAACAUAACAUGGAAAAAUCUGGUGAGCAUGAUGAUGGAUUCUUGUAGCGUCAUGAGAGGUAGCAAGACCGGCAUCGAGACAAGGACCUUCUAACCCUGCUCGACAUUGAUGGAGUCUCCUGUCAUCACAUCCACAAUGCAGCAAAGAAGUUUGCAGAGCCCUAGACCACCACCAUGAGCAGCUCUUCAAUGAACAGCACACUGAUCAUCAGCGGUCUCCAGAUCAAUGAUGUACCUCAAGGAUAUAUGUCGGUACCUGAACAUCCCUGCCUCCAAUCCUCAGAGGUUUGUGCCCCAUCGGUGGCUGUCCGCAUAUGAUGUCAGCAUUUCGACACACAGAAUGCUGUACUACGGGUUCCCGAGCAACGAAGAGCAACCAGGAGCUGUAAUAGGACCCACUGGAACACAUUUAUAAAGAACACCACGUGAGCGAGAAGGCACAAGCGCGGAUCAAGUCUUUGCACGAGGACCUCAACAGAAAAGGCAUGACACAGCAAGGAAAAGACAGAAAGAAGAGUGACUAGGAAGGUGUGGCAUGAGGGCACUACAACUGACCUACAACUCAGCAUUUACGUGGGUGUAUCCUGAUGGAACACGUAAUGAUUUCCCAGGGUAGCCAGACGUUGGUACAUUAGCUCCACGACAAGCAGAUUGAAACUUUUCAAUGCUGAAUACAUCACUAAAGUGUCACCCAAGACUAUGGGAGUGAUGGUACUUAAGGAGAAGAUACUUCUGUUUGCCAGGGAGAUGUAUGUGGGGCGGGAAGCAGAUGGAUUCAGAACCAGGAAUCCUAAUCAUGCUCUGCUGAAGUCUUUCAUGGAACAGGUCACCAAAGCCUUGCAGUCACACACUGAGGUCACUGUCUGCUCUGGACCCGAUUUUGUGAGGCCACUCGCAGGCAGCGAUCCAGUUGAAGAAGCUGAGCACAAUGUUGGGCUACCUCUCACCUGCCGACAGUGAUCUCCACCAGGAGAUCAUGCGAUACAACAUUGAUCCAUGCCUGGCCAGCUUCACGGAGGGAGAUGACAUGGUGGAGUGGUGGGCUCACGUCUUGGCCCAAACACUGUAUCCAGCCCUGGGUAAUGUGGUGAAAAGUGCCCUCUCUGUCUUUCAUGGUCCCAGGGUUGAAUCUUCAUUUAGCUGGAUGAACGACAUCAUUGAUACACGAAGCACCAACAUGAACAUCUCAACUUUCAAUGCAAUACAGACUGUGAAGUACACCCUGCAGACCAGGCAGAAGACCGCAGUGGAGAUGUUUAAACGGGAGGAUGCAAGGUUUGGAGAGGUGGACCGAAGGCUCUGCAGAAACAUCAGGUCAGCAGGAACAGUAGACAAGACCCAGUGGCAGCGGAGUCUGCUGGAAGACCGAAGAUGACAUCUCGGGUAUGGCUGUCAGCCAUUUGGAAGUGCUCAGGAGAGCAAGACGGCGGCAGCUGAAGAGGAGAAGAGGGCAAGGCGCAAGCCUGCCGCAGAACAGCGCAAGCGGGCGCUUGAAAUACUUGUCCAGGUUAUGAAAAAGAAGUAGGGGCAAGCCCUCUCCUUCCCUCCAGUACUCUCCCUUUGUCAAAUAAAUCCCAAAUUGUUCCUGGCCUAGGACGCAGCAUCCGAGGCCUGUUUUCUGCCACCAUUUACCUUCAUUUGAUGGGCUAUGUUUUUAUGUUUGCACAACACUUUAAGAAAGUGUUGUGAAAAUGUAUGUGGGUAUAGGAAAGAGUUCUAUUUGAGUUUCGUUUAACUUUCCCUCAGAAAUGUUCUGUCCUGUUGGGCAGUACAGCAUCAGAGGGACUGUUCCUGAUUAUCUUGAAAUAACUCCAUCCUUUGAGAAAUAUUGAUGUGGUAUUAUAUUGACAUACAAAAAUGUAUGUGGUAUUAUAUUGACUCGACUACAUGAACCAGUAUAAAAUAUGAAUGUAUUGUUUAUUUUGUGGACUUGAGUGUCAUGUGCAGUAAAGUAUGGCAACAAAUAACAUUGGAUUGUUUUCCUUAAAAUCUUUACCUGUGAGUUAAGUUCACAUUAACCACUUUUUAUUUUACACACAGAGACCGAUCAUGUGGAUCAUAUUCUUUGUUGUUUAAUUAGUACACAGUUAAGCUGCAUUUCAAGAAGGGAUUCAGCCUAAAAGUCACUAGAAAUUUGAAUUUUAAAGCUGAUUUACAAUAAACAAAAUCCACUUAGCAGGGAUGUUUUGUGUAUUUCAGUGCAAAGAAAAUGUGUCACCUUUUUGGGCCCUCACCGGUUUGCAUCCCUGCCAUUGUAAAGCAUGGAGAAAGAGUUGUGCUGGUGUGGGGGUGCUUUGCUGGUGACACUGUCAGUGAUUUAUUUAGGA